This 83-nucleotide transfer RNA is filed under the name marine sediment metagenome. It matches the Rfam family "tRNA". Rfam says of the family: Transfer RNA (tRNA) molecules are approximately 80 nucleotides in length. Their secondary structure includes four short double-helical elements and three loops (D, anti-codon, and T loops). Further hydrogen bonds mediate the characteristic L-shaped molecular structure. tRNAs have two regions of fundamental functional importance: the anti-codon, which is responsible for specific mRNA codon recognition, and the 3' end, to which the tRNAs corresponding amino acid is attached (by aminoacyl-tRNA synthetases). tRNAs cope with the degeneracy of the genetic code in two manners: having more than one tRNA (with a specific anti-codon) for a particular amino acid; and 'wobble' base-pairing, i.e. permitting non-standard base-pairing at the 3rd anti-codon position. The record is from RNAcentral.
GCCGGGGUGGUGGAAAGGCAGACACAGGGGAUUUAAAAUCCCCUGGGGGUUACCCCGUGCGGGUUCGAGUCCCGCCCCCGGCA